Molecule: ribosomal RNA, 500 nt
Filed under: uncultured bacterium
Lineage: Bacteria
Description: bacterial SSU rRNA
Rfam family: Bacterial small subunit ribosomal RNA
Source: RNAcentral
GAGAAAGAUUUAUCGCCUUAGGAUCGGCCCGCGUCAGAUUAGCUAGUUGGUGGGGUAAAAGCCUACCAAGGCGACGAUCUGUAGCUGGUCUGAGAGGACGACCAGCCACACUGGGACUGAGACACGGCCCAGACUCCUACGGGAGGCAGUAGUGGGGAAUCUUGGACAAUGGGCGAAAGCCUGAUCCAGCCAUGCCGCGUGGAUGAUGAAGGCCUUAGGGUUGUAAAAUCCUUUCGUUGGGGACGAUAAUGACGGUACCCAAAGAAGAAGCUCCGGCUAACUUCGUGCCAGCAGCCGCGGUAAUACGAAGGGGGCUAGCGUUGUUCGGAUUUACUGGGCGUAAAGCGCGUGUAGGCGGACUGGAAAGUUGGGGGUGAAAUCCCGAGGCUCAACCUCGGAACUGCCUCCAAAACUUCCAGUCUGGACUCAAGUAGAGGCAAGUGGAAUUGCGAGUGUAGAGGUGAAAUUCGUAGAUAUUCGCAGGAACACCAGUGGCGAAG